Molecule: ribosomal RNA, 250 nt
Filed under: uncultured bacterium
Lineage: Bacteria
Description: partial 16S ribosomal RNA
Rfam family: Bacterial small subunit ribosomal RNA
Source: RNAcentral
UACGAAGGGGGCUAGCGUUGCUCGGAAUCACUGGGCGUAAAGGGUGCGUAGGCGGGUCUUUAAGUCAGGGGUGAAAUCCUGGAGCUCAACUCCAGAACUGCCUUUGAUACUGAGGAUCUUGAGUUCGGGAGAGGUGAGUGGAACUGCGAGUGUAGAGGUGAAAUUCGUAGAUAUUCGCAAGAACACCAGUGGCGAAGGCGGCUCACUGGCCCGAUACUGACGCUGAGGCACGAAAGCGUGGGGAGCAAAC